UGGCGUACGGGCGAGUAACACGUGACUAACCUACCCUCGAGUGGGGAAUAAUCUCGGGAAACCGGGGCUAAUACCGCAUAACCUACGGCAAAUGCGAGCUUGAGGAGGGGGUCGCGGCUGAUUAGCUAGUUGGCGGGGUAAUGGCCCACCAAGGCAGUGAUCAGUAGCCGGCCUGAGAGGGCGCACGGACACACUGGAACGGAGACACGGUCCAGACUCCUACAGGAGGCAGCAGUGGGGAAUUUUGCGCAAUGGGGGAAACCCUGACGCAGCAACGCCGCGUGGAGGAUGAAGCCCCUUGGGGUGUAAACUCCUUUCGAUCGGGACGAUUGACGGUACCGGAUGAAGAAGCACCGGCUAACUCUGUGCCAGCAACCGCGGUAAUACAGAGGG
Molecule: ribosomal RNA, 393 nt
Filed under: uncultured soil bacterium
Lineage: Bacteria
Description: bacterial SSU rRNA
Rfam family: Bacterial small subunit ribosomal RNA
Source: RNAcentral